Gorilla gorilla gorilla (western lowland gorilla) is the source of this 176-nucleotide long non-coding RNA. RefSeq lists it as uncharacterized. The transcript has 2 exons. Lineage: Eukaryota; Metazoa; Chordata; Mammalia; Primates; Hominidae. The record is from RefSeq and is a predicted model, not a curated record.
AGACCACACCUGAACAGAGACCAUGUAAAAAGAGCCAAGACACAGGGCAUGCUUCAGAAGUUCUGAGGAGGAUGACACCAGUGUGGGAGGUGGGACAUCCAACGGGUCUUUGGAACUGAUGGUGACUGUAUCCAACCCAACACAAUACGCUUACAAGUAAUCUACCACAAUCGACA